This 245-nucleotide ribosomal RNA is filed under the name uncultured bacterium. RNAcentral's name for it is "partial small subunit ribosomal RNA". It matches the Rfam family "Bacterial small subunit ribosomal RNA", at positions 26 to 285 of the family's 1533-position model. The record is from RNAcentral.
AGAAUCAACGCUGGCGGCGUGCCUAACACAUGCAAGUCGAACGAGAAAGUGGAGCAAUCCAUGAGUAAAGUGGCGCACGGGUGAGUAACACGUGACUAACCUACCCUUGAGUGGGGGAUAACCUAGAGAAACCUGGGCUAAUACCGCAUAAUACCUUCGGGUCAAAGGAGCAAUUCGCUUUAGGAGGGGGUCGCGGCCGAUUAGUUAGUUGGCGGGGUAAUGGCCCACCAAGACGAUGAUCGGUA